Long non-coding RNA from Onychostoma macrolepis, 439 nucleotides. RefSeq lists it as uncharacterized. NCBI's taxonomy places the organism in Eukaryota, Metazoa, Chordata, Actinopteri, Cypriniformes, Cyprinidae. The transcript is spliced from 3 exons. The record is from RefSeq and is a predicted model, not a curated record.
UCCAAACCCUGCACUGCUCUCAUGGGACAUCCGAUACAGCGUCAGCAGUGGUGUGGCGUAUUCCAGAACACAGCUAAAAGUCUACAGGAACACAAAGAGAAGGCCACCAGCUGAUGAGGGUUCAGAAAUGCAUGCUGGGAGAGAGGGAGCGGUCCGGUCUCAGGUGUGAAAGGUGCUCGUGUUCAGCUUCUCUGCCUGCUAAAUGAUGGCAUUUUCAUAGCUGAGGAGCAACAUCUUCGUCCUGCGUCAGACCCGCUGCCUGUGCUGAAUGACGCUUUGACUCAUGGGAAAUUAAGUUCACAAGAUCAUGCCCUGUUUUCUUGUCAGAGAUGUCUGUAUCAGUAACCUGUGACAGGGGCCUCUAUGUCCAGCAUGGUCUUCUCCUGGCGGAGGAUGGCGGCCCCCUCGUUGAUGAUGCGCAGAGCGACGGGCUCCUCUA